This 7475-nucleotide long non-coding RNA is filed under the name Bemisia tabaci. Its description in RNAcentral is "lncRNA ENSSSA1UGG008029". The record is from RNAcentral. Lineage: Eukaryota; Metazoa; Arthropoda; Insecta; Hemiptera; Aleyrodidae.
AUCGGGGCGUAAUUUUGAAAUCCUUCCGAAUGUAGAGCAAUGAGAGGGUGAGAAAGUCUUAAUCCAGCAUUCGUCCGUGGUUUAUGAUGAGGUGCGUGCUAAUUUGUGUCUAGUGGUUGAAAGGAAUCCAAAUUCGUGAUGAGUCGAUUCACGCUCACGAUAAUAGGGCUCCUUAUUUUCCCGAGCGUGCUCUCGUCCAGAGAAGAAAGACUGCUCCAGACGCCAUCCAAAGAGACUCUGGAACGAACAUGUCCUUGUUUGCCCGUCGAAGUAUGCCAGAAACACCAAGGCACAGGCGGUAAUUCAGGAUGGUCGGGCUUGAUUCCAGUGUGCGAGGACUUGAGCCUGGUGCGCUGCUGCGGGGCUCCACCUAUGAAAAAAGUGAGUUAUCCCGGCCAAUUAAUACAAAAUGCCCGUUUAGAUUUCAGCCACAACCCCAGUGAUGAAAUAAUCCGUCAUACAAGGGACACGCUGAGCGACAAGGAGUCCUUGAUGAAGAAGUUGGACGAAACCAAAGGCUUCAAGAAACAAGAUCUGAGCGAACUUAAAGGCAAAAUACGGCCACGCAGAGCUAUUGACGAUGAUGAAGCUGUAGUCACAACUCAAAUGAGUGAUGCAAAAGUUAAUGUGACAGUUAUGUUGCAUGCAGUCAAUGAAACCAAAAUUCAGUCAGAGAGCGAGACGAAAAAUGCAUUUGCAGUCAUCGUUGAACAGGAAAUGCAUCCAGCGAAUGAUAUGAAAAGUGGAGUGACACCCAUCGCCGGAGGAGAGGUAUCGGCAGUCACUGAAAUGAAAAGUGACGUCGUAGCCACCACAGAGCCAGAGCUGCAUUCAACGAUUUUAGAAAAGAGUGAAGGGACAGUCUCAGCACAGCAGGAAGUGCAAAUGAACGAUGAUUUAGAGAAAGCAGCUGCAGUUACUACUGAGCAAGUGAUGCACUCAACUAGUGAUAUGAAGAAUGAGAUGGCAGCCAACGUUGAGUCAGGGAUACAAGAAAAAAGUGAAGCAACAGUCGUUCCUGAAGGAAGUACCCAGUCAGGUAACGUGAUGACGAAUGGAGUUGAUGUCACCACGGAGAAGGAGAUGCGUCUUAUCGAAGAGGCGAAGAAUGAGACUGUAAGUAUGAUCGCUCCAGAAAUGCGCAUGGUCAACGAAAUGGGAAGUGAAGGUACAUCCACAACCGAACAGCAAAUUCUUUCAGAAUCUGAAAAGGUCAACGGAGCAUCAUCCACCUCAGGACUCGUUAUGAAUGAUGAAGUUGUAACUGCAAAUCCUUCGGUCACCUCGUCCGAAAAUGAAAUAAAAAUCCCCGAGGUAAAAAUUCAAGCUACAGACAACUCAACACAAAAUGGGAGCUCUGAUGGCAGUCCUACAGCACGUCAGGAAAUUUCGACGCAGGAUUUGAGUUCUAAAUCCAUCGAAGAGGUCACCACUGAAAAUUCUGCCAAGUUGUCAACUGAACCUGUUGAAAUGACAUCAUCCAGCUCAUCAGAUAUUAGCACCACGAUUUUGAGUUCAAGUGCACCAAAUGAUGAAUCAUCGGCAAAUCGUGAAAUGACUGAGCAAAGUCCGGCAAAAAUUGACUCAGUGAGUAAAGUUGCGACCCUUUCACCCUUAAUGGACAGUAGCUCUGUAAAGGCAGAUUCUUCGAAUGUGAAUGUAAGCAGCACAGAGAGAAGUAUUCAAGCUACAACUCAGGACAAGUCAAUCUCAACCAGUAAAACUUUCCCCAUCGAUUUUAGUAAGGUGAAAAAGUCUAAAUAUUUGGAUGUUAAAGAAGAGGUAGAAUCUAAAGUUGCUGUUGUGUAUGCAAAACCUGCAAGCGCCGAGGAGGAGAAAAUAAACGAGGAACUAAAGAAGAAGUUGGAUUCCAUGAUCCGAUCCAGUUUGAACACGACCGAUGGACCAAGUCAUGAUGAUGAUCGCCAUCAUAUCCAGCACAUUCCGUUGGGAAAACGUUUGAUAAUUUACAAAAAAAUAAAACCGUCCGAUAAGAAAGCCAUCAAGGAAUUGAUUUACGACAGCUUACAAACGGCAAAUCAAACUGAUCGCGCCUCUGGUGCACUUAAUGAAACAGUUUCGAGUGCUACUCCACCAGCAGAUAAUUCAACAAAUACUGUUAAAGAAGCCUUUGAGGCAUCUAAAGUUUCAGAGACCAAGUCGAACCCAGAGAAAGAUUCUGAUGAUACUUUGGAGGCUGCUCAAAGUUCGCAAGUUCCAGUCUACGUAUUAAGUCCCGGUGCCGCAAAUGGUUCACCUGCUGAGGCAGCCGAGGAGGAGCAUUCAGCAAAAAUUGACUUCGUUAAAAAGGGUUCAGGGGCACCAUUUAAUUUUGCAAGCAGGUUUUCACCCCCUGGUGUUGGAGUUAAGGUGGCAGAUACUCCGCAUACAUCGACGGAGCACACAAACCGUCCUACUGCUAACAGAGGACGAAUAAAGUUCCAAGAAAGUAUCAUAAAUGAUCAGCUGAAGGAGAAAAAAGCUGCCGCAGAAAGAGGACACGUAAGUAGUACGAUUGACACAGUGUCGACCGACAUCUCUGUUAAUCAUCCAACUAGGAAAAAUUUCAAUCGACCCUCUGUGGGAUCAGUCAUUCCUUCGAACAAUUCUCCGGUAGAAUCCAAUCCUCAGGUUAAUCCUCCAACUAAUUCAAACAGCCGACUUGUCAUACAAACCCAGAGUAUCCUUAAAAAGCCAGUUCCGUCAUCAGCUUCUCCUUCAACGGAUUCUUCACCAAUAUUAAACCACCAUAAUGCUGGCUCAAACACGCCAAGUGGCGUCUCUGCCGUACAUGCUGCCAAAAAUCAGUUUGAGCAAUCCCCAUCACAGCCGGCAGUUCACACGACAGACUCUUCCGGUAAGUUCGAAUUCCAAAAUAAGCCCCCCACAACCCCUGAGGUCAAACAUUAUUUAAUCAAUCAUUCAAAGGCUGAGCAUGGAGACGGAACUGCCAAUUACGAGUUUAUCGGUCAAACUGAGAGCAAUUUGAAGGGUGACGCAAUCGUUUUCCCAAAUUCGGUCGAGCAUGAAAAUAAACCAAAUCAAAACCAAACGAAGGAAGAAAAAACUCUUUAUUCGCAAAGCACGGAAAAGGAUGGCACCGUUCAGCUGAGAGAAAAUCAAGCUGCGAUUUAUCAAGAGCGCGCUCAAGAGGGAGACUCGAGCCCAGUGCCACCCACACAAUCAGAGAGUAGCCAGGUUACAAACACCGUUCCUCCGUCAAGUCAUGUUGCCGGCGACAAAACACAUCACUCAGAUGGGCCCGUCGAAAAGGAUAAAGCUGCAAGUUCACGUAGACCCGAUUACCAGAUCAUAAGACGUCCGGAAAUAGAGCCCCCAACUCACGCCGCAGAUAGUGAAAAACCAAGUAAAUUUGCUUCUCCAAGCCGUAUCAGAGGUGGUCCGAAGAAGCAAAACGGGUUGAAAUCAGACCCCUCGAACGAUUCUCAGCCUGAUGAGAAGGUGAUUGAACAAGUAUCGCCAAAACCUGCCAGAUUUGGUAAUCGCCACAGAUUUGGGUCACGAGAGCCUUCAAAACACAUCUCAAGCACCAAUGAGCAAGUUGAAGGUCACCAAAGCCGCUUCGGUGCUAAAAGGCCGGUUCAAAAAGAAUCAGAAGAAGAGCAGCAAGGACCCUCAACUCGCCACCCAGAGCAAGAAAGUGGAACUGAGGCAGCAAUUCAAACCAAAUUUGAAAGACGGAAACACGGUGGAUUCAAGCGUGGACCUUCAACUCAAUCACCAGUGAAUGAAAGAGAAGAUGCAGUCGUUCGUCCUAGUCGUGUCAGAGGGGAAAAACACGAGCGGCCAACUUUUACUCCCAGUCGAAAGAUGCAGACUAGCAUUCUUGUAGCGGACAGCGACAGUGCCGUAGAGGCAUCUGACAUCGAUGUAACAAUCGAUAACAACAAGGAGGAGAUAAUAUUUGCAGAGACAAAUUCUCGUGGAGCGCUAGCUGUUCCUUUGAGAGAGGGAGUUGCUUUCAAUCAAAAUUCAUUCCAACCUCCUCAGCAAUUUGCAACAGGAUUUGCACCGAUUCAGCGUCCUCAAACUCCGGCAGAUACUUCCCCAGACCGCAUACCCGGACCUGCAGUUCAAAAUUUCGGACCUGCAGUUCAGAGUUUCAGACCUACAGUUCAGAGUUUCGGCCCUGCAGUUCAAGCAGUUCAACCCAUAGGCAAAAUCCAGACUCCAGCAAGUACGUCUCCGGAUCGCAUACCUGGACCAGCAUUUCAGGGGCGCGGACCAUCAGCUCAAACACCACCUGUAGUCCAAACACCUAGACCUGUACCUCAGACACCCCAACCUACUUUCAAUGUUCCUGGAAACGCUGUUCAAAUACCUGGGCCAGCAGUCCAAACUUCUGGAUCUUUACUGAGUACACUGGGAAACGCACUUCGUAUAGGGGGAGCACCUCAAUCUGGUAGACCGAUAUUUAAUAUUCCUGGAAAUCCAGGCGUUGUUCCUGCAAAUGCAAAUAGAUCACCCAUAUUUGCACCAAACACAGUAGGGAAUGCCGCCCGUUUCCCUGCUGGUGUACCCCAGUCAUCUGCAUUCAGUACACCGGAAAAUGCAGUGCGUGUUCCUGUAUCAACGGGCCAGCCAUCUGAGCGCCCUGUCGUAAAUCAGCAAUACUUCAAUGCGGUACCAUCUGCCUCUUUGCAAAAGCCUCAAAAUUUAGGAAACUUAAACAACAAUAAUAUUAUUCAACAGCCCUCUACUCUAAGGCCUACCUUCCCUCCAAAUGUGAAUAUUCAGGAUGCUAUCAACCCCAAAUUUUCUAAAAAUAUCAGACCUACCGCUUCGACUUUCCAAAAUACCGAUCUACGUCUCCAGCAGAACAUUUUUGGCAGCAAUUAUGUUUUCAACUCAAACGCUGCGAGCGAUCAGAAACGAGUUGUCACUCAAAAUUCCCAACUAUCAAAUGCUCAGGUUGAUUACAGUCGAAUUCCCGCUAAUCAACUUUUGAACCCGGGCACGAGGUUCGAAGUUCAACAACAAGCUAAUCAAAAAUAUUUCCCCAAUCCUGGAUCAGUUUUCAACAUACCUCUUCUACAACCAAGCGUGCCACUUACAGCAACAACAUCCGCACCAGCAGUAGCUCCCAGCAGUUUGGGCGUUUUACAGAGAAUGCCAGGUUACAUCAUGCAUCAAUUCAGAAAUUUAUUCAGCUCUCAGCAAGAGAACCAAGUUCAGACGGAAAAAGCACCAGAGGCCCAGGAAGUGGAGCCAGCUCAAGAACAGCCAACCAGAUUCACAAUCCCGUUAGCCCGACGACCAGUUGUGUUUGGAGGCCAACGGCAGGAUGGGUCCCUGAUCAACUCUAUCAGGAAUGACAAAAACUAUGAGACGACGAAUAGCCAAAGUGUGUUGAAAGCGCUUGAGGCUCUGAAAUUGCAGUCGCAAACUCAACAGCCUGCUCAAAUAUCCCAACAAGAUAGGACAGCAGCUGAUAAAAUCAGAGAGAGUCAGUUAUUAGAAACUUUAAAUCAACAACUUCUCGGGAAUGGCAAACAACAAGCAGGUGCUUUCCCGAAGCGUAUCGUAAUUCCAAACAGCGCUCCAGCAGGCACGAUUGAACCAUCAAACGUGGGUCGAAAGACGGUUAGCCCUUCAGGAUCAGCCUUAGACAUCUUGAAAUCUCAAUUUUCUCAAACAGAGGCCGAAUUUGCUCAAUUAGCUCAGUCAGAGGGGAAUUCGAACCCGCAGGCAGGUCCCAAGAGGCCACAAUCUUUGAAAAAUCGUCGACCUACUCAGAGUUUUAAUUUGCGCAAAGAACAGUUGCCCAUUGAAAACAUUCAAGCAAACCGAGUGACACAGGAUUUGAGCACAGAAAACACAAUUCGUCCAGAAACAACGAACAAUCCAUCCUUAACGGCUCUUGAAGUCUUGAAAUUACAGUCUUUACAGGAAGCUCAAUCACCUCAAAGAGCAGAGCUCCAAGAACAUGUAGCGAAAGUAGAAAAAACCAUCAGUCCAAGUGUAUCAGCAUUUGAGAUCCUUCAAUCCCAAUUUUCUCAAACGUCUCAGCCACAGCAAAAUGAAGAUUUAAAGAAAAAUGAUGAAGCAACCAGAGUCGACUCCAAUGUAGAGUCGGAUCAAGUGAAGAAAGAAGAACAACAUGAAGCGGUACAAAGCCAAGAGCAAACAUCAACAGCUGGAAGGCAGCAAGUUCAGAAGGGUGGUAGACGUCAAUUUCCUAGCAGAAGCCGGGUGAUCUCGGAUCAAGUUUCCCGUCAAGAAGUAUCCACUAGGAAUGGAAAUGUCCAAGGAACACAAGAAGGAGUAUAUAAGAGGAAGAAAACGCAACGCGUCAGGACUGGUGGACAACGUAAGAAAUUUAAGCCACGACCGAGACCUCAAGUCGCGGGCGCGGAAACUCAAGCUCUGAGAGAAAAUUUCAGCCAAGAAAAUUCAAAUGCUGCAGAAAUUUCUGCAGGUCCAGUUCCGAAACGUCUCGAAGUGCCUGGCAGUUCUCCAGUGAACCCAUUGGCAUCAUCACAAGCAGAAAAUCUAAGAGAAGGCACAACAUCAGCUGAAUUAAGCCCAAACCCUUCAGAGGCAGUGGCUGAAUCAAGGAACCAACAAGCCGACACUACCUCAAAAACUCAGACGUCGAAUCAAUACGCUGAACAAAUGGUCGAACAAAUGGGUGUAUCAGUGGAACCGGAUCAGGUUUUGCUCAUAAAUGAUGGUUAUCCACCGAUUCGCUCAAUGUUCAACUCGGCACCACUGUACGCUCCGAGUGGUGAAAAGCGCGCGAAGUUUCCACCUAGCUCGAAGCUCAAAGAAAGAAAUCAGCAGCAAUCAGUUUCUGAGGAACAAUCUGCAGAAACUUCGACGAGCUCGACAGAGUCAACUGUUCCUAAUCUCAGCGAGGUCCCGGUGUUCCCAUCACGAGCCACACAGCCCAACUCGCGGCCAAGGAUCGUACCUGUCAGGAGGCGACUCAAUAGCCGAGGUGAAGUUCAACGAAGUCCAGAAAAGAACGUUGAAAGUACUCGGAUUGUGAGUACGGCAUCUCCGGAAAAUCCUCCGCGCGUUAAAAAGUCCGACGCUGAUAGCAUGAACGAGCGCUUUGUCAGUGCUAUGUAUAGUUUGUCCCAAUUUUUGAGGUCAUGAUGAGAGUUGGAAGAAUAUUUACCUUUCCAAAAAGUCUGAUAAUUUUUUGUGAUACUGAAAAUUCUAUGUUUAUUCACUAAAAGUCAGCGUUCAUGAAUGCUGUAAACAGAUGCUGUUUUUCAUGAAAAUAUAAAGUUUUGUAAAUAUAAUAGUUUUAAGAUAGUGGGCGUUUAAACCUAGUUGUAAUUUAUUUUUGUGUGUUAAUUGUGAAAAAUUAAUGGGGAAGGACUUUGUUAUCGCUUCUUCCAUAGUACAUAUUUGACUCAUUUGUCUCUAGAAUCAUGUAGAGAUAAAAAUCGCGUGCUUCUUUAUGUAAAUUUUGUUAUCCUUGAAACGACUGCAUUUAAAUAAAC